Homo sapiens (human) is the source of this 1482-nucleotide long non-coding RNA. Lineage: Eukaryota; Metazoa; Chordata; Mammalia; Primates; Hominidae. The record is from Ensembl.
UGUUGUGAACACAUCUGAGAACCCCCCAAGUGUCCAGGCCGCAGGGUGGACUGCUCUCUAGCCCCAACCAAGAGCCCCUCAGCAGGCUGAGAAGGGAGGCCCCCAGCCUGAAGCUCAGCCCAGCAGCCCGGGCCCACGGGGUGGUGAACACGCACCUCAAGAACCUGCCAGACCAUGGAGCUGGACGAAGGCCCCCCAGACCACGCCAAGAGCACCUGGGGGAGAAAAAACAUCACUCAGGGCACCGCACCUCCAACACAGGCAGACACCCCACCUCGUGGACAUCUAGGACAUCGAGUCUGUCCUCAAAGGCCAAGGAGGAGCUGGCGGGCUGCAGCAGGCCAGGCUGCCUGUGGGAGGGACAAGCAGGGACCUCGAGGGGCCAGGCUGCUCAGUCAGACCCCCAGGACCCAGACGCUACCUUCUCGCCUGGAAAGAUGAGCCGGUUCUUGCCCAGCAUGGCUCUGAACUUGUGGACGUAGAAGGCCUUGAAACAGUCCCUGCAACACAGACCUGAGAUGAGGGAACCGCCUGCUACCCGCACAGUGAGCAGCGUCCUGAGGCGCUGCCAGGUGACGACGUCCUUUGCCAAUCUCCAUCUUUAAAAGCAGCAUCUUCACAUCCAGGCUCUGUCCAGAGACUGGUGAAAGGGGCGGGGUUGGCCCCUCUGGCAGUGGCUUCCUCAGGGUGAACACGAGGCUCACCGGCCCCUCCCACGACCAGGUACAAACUGCACAGCCACGGAGGCUGCAUCCAGCAAACGAGGGCAGAGCCCCGGCACCCCUCCCCACAGGCGCUCAGAAGGGCCCAGCUGGUGGAGUGGACAGACUUAGGCACGUACAGGGCAAGGCCAACCCAGACCCCAUAAAAAAAGACCCACCACAUACAGACACCACCUCUUGGAGGUGAAACGUGGAAAUGGAGCGGGCCACAGCGAGGACCCACCAUGCAGAGACACCACCUCUUUGGGGUGAAGUGCGGAAAUGGGGUGGGCCACAGCGAGGGCUCAGUAUCCUGGGGCCCCAGAGCUGGCAUCUUUAGUGUGCUGGGCUCAACUGGGCCAGGAAUGGCUAAGAGGCUCACUCACAGAGUGGCCUGGGCUCCUCCCCUAACCCCACAGAAUCAGAACUUCCAGGCCUGGGAACUGCAUUUUUAAGAGACAGGGUCUCGAUGUGUCACCCAGGUUGGAGUGCAGUGCCACAGUUAUAGCUCACUGCAGCCUCAAACUCCUCGAUUCAUGUGAUCCUUCUGCCUCAGCCACCCAGGUAGAUAGGACUACAGGUUACAGAUAUAUGCCACCAUGCCUAGCUAAUUGUUGUAUUUUUUGUAGAGACAAGGUCUCACUUUGUUGCCCAGACUGGUCUCAAACUCCUGGCCUUAAGUGACCCUCCUGCCUGGGCCUCCCAGAGUGCUGAGAUUCCAGGUAUGAGCCACUGCGCCCAGCUGUAAUCUUUGUUCAUAAUAAACUUUCCAGCCAUCUGA